This 957-nucleotide ribosomal RNA is filed under the name uncultured bacterium. Its description in RNAcentral is "bacterial SSU rRNA". It matches the Rfam family "Bacterial small subunit ribosomal RNA", at positions 1 to 954 of the family's 1533-position model. The record is from RNAcentral.
CCCCUUAGAGUUUGAUCAUGGCUCAGAAUGAACGUUGGCGGCGUGGAUUAGGCAUGCAAGUCGAGCGAGAACCCGCAGGGGGGACAGCGGCGAACGGGGUAGGAAUACGUAGGUAACGUACCCUCGGGGCGAGGACAGCCACGGGAAACUGUGGGUAAUACUCGAUAAACUUCCCAAUCAUUAUGGAAGGGGAAGCAAUGGGUGUGAUUCCACCUGAGGAGCGGCUUACGCAGUAUCAGCUAGUUGGUGAGGUAACGGCUCACCAAGGCUACGACGCUUAGGGGGUGUGAGAGCAUGGCCCCCACCACUGGCACUGAGACACUGGCCAGACACCUACGGGUGGCUGCAGUCAAGAAUCUUCGGCAAUGGACGCAAGUCUGACCGAGCGACGCCGCGUGUGGGAUGAAGGCCUUCGGGUUGUAAACCACUGUCAGAGGGGAUGAAGUAUACGAGAGUUAUCUCUUGUAUUUGACAGAGCCUCAGAGGAAGCACGGGCUAAGUUCGUGCCAGCAGCCGCGGUAAUACGAACUGUGCGAACGUUAUUCGGAAUCACUGGGCUUAAAGGGUGCGUAGGCGGUUAUCUAAGUCAGGUGUGAAAUCUCUCGGCUCAACCGGGAAACUGCGCUUGAAACUGGAUGACUGGAGGGAUGCAGGGGGUGUGUGAAACUUCCGGGUGGAGCGGUGAAAUGUGUAAAUAUCGGAAGGAACGCCAGCAGCGAAAGCGGCACACUGGCAUCUACUGACGCUGAGCACGAAAGCUAAGGGAGUGAACCGGAUUAGAUACCCCCAGUAAUCCUAGCCGUAAACACUGAACACUGAAGAAAAGGAAGCCUUCUUCCUUCCUUUCCCAGUAACGAAAGCGUAAGUGCUCCCGCCUGAGAGUAGUAUCGCUCGCAGCUGAUCCUCAAGUAAUCUGACGUGCUCAACAAGCGAUGCAGCAUGUGACCUUUACUUCCA